This 497-nucleotide ribosomal RNA is filed under the name uncultured bacterium. Its description in RNAcentral is "partial 16S ribosomal RNA". It matches the Rfam family "Bacterial small subunit ribosomal RNA", at positions 28 to 507 of the family's 1533-position model. The record is from RNAcentral.
GAUGAACGCUGGCGGCGUGCCUAAUACAUGCAAGUCGAGCGAACAGACGAGGAGCUUGCUCCUCUGACGUUAUCGGCGGACGGGAGAGUAACACGUGGAUAACCUACCUAUACGACUGGGAUAACUUUGGGAAACCGGAGCUAAUACCGGAUAAUAUAUUGCAUCUCAUUGUUCAAUAGUGAAAUACGGUUUUUCUGUCACUUAUAGAUGGAUCCGCGCCGCAUUAGCUAGUUGGUAAGGUAACGGCUUACCAAGGCAACGAUGGGUAGCCGACCCGAGAGCGAGAUCGGCUACCCUGGAACUGAGGAACGGUCCAGACUCCUACGGGAGGCAGCGGUAGGGAAUCUUCCGCGAGGGACGAGAGCUGGACGGAGCAACGCCGCGUGAGUGAUGAAGGUGUUCUGAUCGGAAAACUCUGUUAGUAGGGGAGAACAAAUGUGUAAGUAACUAUGCACAUAUUGACGGUACCUGAACAGAAAGCCACGGCUAACUACGUG